UGUUUUAUAACUAGCAAAUCAAUCUCAAAUUCUUCUUCUUUAGCACUGGAAAAUCAAAGAAACCCCAAUUCUUGAGUUUUCAUUCUCCCAUCCUCUCUCUCACUCAAAUUGUUGGUGCCGCUAAGCUUUUGGCGCUGUUGUUGGGUCUCACCAGAAGUCUGUCGCUGUUGUCGCCGGCUGGGCUGUUGUCCUUCUUUCUUUCCUUUUGUCGGUACUGCCCAGGUUCUUUCACCAUUGCUGCAGUAUUUUCUCUCUCCUCUGCUUUUACGGUGCUAUUGCCGCUGCCGUGUUGCUACCGUCGGCGUUCUGCUGGUGUUGGCGGUGUUGCAGCUGCUAAUAUAGGUGAUUUAAUUCCCUCUCCUUUUACUUAUUUGCUUUGCUGCUGCCCAUGUCAGUUGGUGGUGUUGCUGCUGUAUACUACUUCUUUUUACUUUUCAGUUUUAUUUCAUUCCAAAAGAAAACCCAAUUAUGGUUUCAAGAGAUAUAAAUUAAGUUAGCAUCUUCCUCAUCUUUAUAUAAGAACUCAAAUUCAGAUUAUAAUGGGUUUCGUUGUUAUGACUUUUGUUAUGUUAGAGAAUAGCUCAAAAUUUAUGUUGUGGGUUUUAACUAUCGGUUUGUGAUUCCAAUUUCAAAAGAUAUUACUCCAAAUUCAUCAUAAUUAAGGAAAGGUUGAAGCUUUUGCUUGGAAAUUGCAAAAUUAAUCUAUUAAGACGAUAUAGUUUUAUCAACACAUCUUGUGGAUAAGCUUAGUAGUUAAGAGUUGGAAAAAUAUUCUGGUUAUAAUGCAUGCUUCUAGUUAGUAAGCUAAUAAGAGGAAUUACAUUAGGAAGUGUUAAUUAGUUUCCUCAUGUAGAAUUGCUUAGGAGUAUUUAUUGAUUAUUUUCGUGUUAUUGUUGCAAUUGAGGUGAACUGUUAAGAGGGGACUAUGGAGCUUAACCAAAUUGUGAUGAUAAGUAUUGUGAGCAUUGUUGGAGCGAUGUUUAGAGAUUGGAGAAAGAUGAUGGAUAAAAAUGAAAAGAAUACUCGCUUAGACGGUACGACUUGACAGCUUCUGCUAGGGCUACUCGUGCGGCUAGGAGAUCAUCCCAGGCUCCUAACUCGGGUGUUGGCGGUUUGAAUGAGUCAGCAUGUUGUCGAGCCAGACCAAUCUCAGGAAGACAACGACAAACGUAAAUGGUUAAAAUGUCCUCGCACUUUUGAUUGGAAGUUGACUGCACCAGCACCAGGAGGGCCACUUUCUACAGAUUUGCUAUGAGGUUAUCGAGGUCAUGUAGCGUGUUACAUUUGGGAGACAAAUAUUGAACGUGGUUGUUUGGUUAUUCAGUCACGAACACAUGCGAUUGAUCUCUUUCGAUUUGAGCCUCGUGAUGCAUGGUAUCUAUUAGUGAAAAGUAAUGGGUUGGGUCAUUUGAGGGAAUGCAUGUUUCCUCGUCAUAAUGCACCAUUAAUAUCAGCUUUUGUUGAGAGAUGACACCCUGAAACUAAUAGUUUUCAUUUACCCUUUGGAGAGAUGACAAUUACAUUACAUGAUGUAUCUUUGAUUUUGGGUCUUCCUAUUAAAGGCCUUGCUAUUAACCACCCAAUGCAACAAAAGGAAGCACGGAAUUCACUAUUUUCUUUUGUUGGUAAAUUGCUUAAUACAGAUACAAAAGAAAUAGAGUUUGAACAUGCACAUGGUGGAAUUAAGUUGUAAAAAAUUAGAGAGACUUUGAUGGAUCCAAAAGAUGAGUAUGGUGCGGAUGAUCUAGCUAGAGGCUUUUUUACUUACAUUACUAGGGUCCACUUUAUUUAUUGACAAAAUUGUAGAUCGAACAUCCACUCUAUUAUUUCCUCUAGUACGCGACCUUGUUAGUGUUAAGUCGUACUCGUGGGCUUCGGCAGCUCUUGCCUAUCUUUAUCGGGAACUUGGCAAAGCUACAAUAGCAGAGACUAAGCAACUGGCAGGAUCAUCUACUCUUCUUGAGGUUUGGAUAUAUGAACACUUUCCAAUGUUUCGACCCAUGACGAAUUCUAACUAUUUGCCCGCACCCUCGCGCUAUGAAAUGGGAUGCUCAGACUCCGACACCGAAAUUACUUUCUAUACUACAACAACACCGAUGGAGGUUAGAUGACAUAACAUCUCAAGAGGUUAUAUGGGUGCCUUAUGGUAUCAAUGCAGUACACAAAUUACCAUUAUCAUUGUAUCAUGGGUGCAUUCGUUACGCUUCCAUAAUUGAACCGUAUAUGCCGGACCGUCUUCUACGACAAUUUGGAUAUGUACAGACUCGCCCUAUGUGUCCAAUUACACCAAACAAAGAGAGCUAGCCGGCCCAUUUUUACUCCAUCGAAUAUCCGGAAUCUAUGAUGUGCUUUUGGGAUGAUCCUUCCUCCCAUUGUUUAAGUAUGCACCGUCUAGGUGAGGAUGCUUCUAAUCCAUGGGAUUGUGAUGCGGAAAACCAAGUAUCAUAUACUUGAACAUCUAUCCAAAGAUCAUUGCAUAAACUAGUAUGAAUCAAACAUUAGUAUAUAAAUAUACUUCUUGAUGCGUGAAUUGCUUUGCACACCACAACCUUCUAGUGGGAUCCUUUUAGAACGUCAAGCGUCGUUCCUCUAUUAUUGGUCCACGAACAACACUUGGAUCACCACGUAUGCUAGUACGGAAGAGAGAAAACACUCUCUUACUUUUUGAGGUGAGGGCCGAAAUGGGUGUGAAAAAACUAAGGCUUUAUUUUAUAACCGCUAUAUCAUUAUAUAACCGCUAUAUCAUUAUAUAACGUGGUUACAAAAGAGGUGUUUCAUGAGGCUUUAUUUUGCCUCAUAAUGUCAUAUAUUAUGAGCCUAAUAAACUCAUGACUCAUGAGUUACAACUCUUCCCACCCAUCAUAAAACCGCCCAACCCAUUUCAUAAAUGGAUUUGUAUAAUAUCCAAGUGCCAUUACUUGUGUGACCUCAUAGGACUCAAUAAUACUAGUAGUUGGCCCAAUCAUAUUAGUCCAACAAAUCACAAUUAGCUUCUAGCAGAAAGUUGUGAUCACCUAAUAUUAUUAAAUAUAUUAUCUCCAUAAUUUAUCCUAAUAUUAUUUAGUUUAUUACACUUGAUCGAGGAAAAAAUCCUUCGGUAUGACGUUAAAAAAAACCGAGGAACUGCCUCCUUUUUCCUCCGAAAAAUGCUAUCUUGUUUUAUUCUAUGUUUUUUAAUUGGAUUGUUCAUCCCCAUCUUUUUUUUUUUUUUUUUUUUUUUUUUUUUGUUCCAAACGAGGCAUAGAGCCAAAAAACGAAAAAACAAAACAUAAAGUACAAAACAAAAAAUAAAAGAAGAACAAGAAACUAACUAAUUAGGGAGGAACAAAGCGAGGAAAAGCUACACCCCGAAUAUCCUCCUCUAAGAUUUUGGCUAAAGCAGAAGGAACAAUGUCUAUGAAACUAAUAUGAAAAGAUUGAGCGACUCCCAUAUUGGCAAGCCAAUCCGCCGCACGGUUACCCUCCCUGUAAACAUGAACAACCUUCACCUCCCAAUCAUCCUCUAGCAAUAAGGCCCGACAUCUUCGGAUAUCAUGGAUAUAAUCACCUGCAACCGCCUCAUUGUGGCUCAAAAAUUGUACGCAAGUGAGACUAUCAAGCUGGACUUCCAGCUUUGCGAUUUUAAGAUCACGAGCAAGCAUGAGACCUUUCGUGAGAGCCAUAACUUCAGCUUUCAGAGCAUGACAAUGACCAAAGUUGGCGGAAAAACCUGAAACAAACAACCCCCGAUGAUCCCGUAUUAUAGCCCCUCCCCCCGCUGGGCCAGGGGCACCUUUAACCGCCCCAUCCGUGUUGAGAACAUACCAAUCCAUGGGAGGAUGCCACCAACGAACAUAAGCUUGGUUGGUUGUCCGGGAGUGUGUAGUACUACCUUCAAUACCCUCCCACCCUCUUCGUGCUUCAUCAAACCUGACCUGGAUAAAGGCUCCAAGGUCACUCGGUAUACCUUGCGGUCGGUCAAAAACAUGGCAGUUACGCCAUCUCCAUAUCCACCACACAGCAACCCCAAAAAGAGUAUGCCAUUUCUCAUUCACAGCUUCAUCAGUCACACUAACAUUAUGGGAGAUCCAAUCCUUUAGAUUACCUUGUAAAAAAUGGUGAGAGUUAGCUGGCCCACCUACUUUCUGCCAAACCAUGCGAGCGUGGGGGUAAUCUCGAAGGAUAUGCAAUGUUGAUUCCUCCUGUGCACCACAAAUAAAACAAUUAGGAUUGGAGGUCAUCUUGCGUUUAAAUCGGUUCAAAUUGCCGAGAACACGAUCAUGGCAAGCGACCCAAAGGAAGGCUCGUAUGCGUUGUUGAAGAGGAGCCAGCCAAAUCGCAUUCCAACAAUCAUCAUCAAGCACAUCACUUUCAUGGCGCAUUAUACUCACAGCAGAGCGAAUUGAGAAUCGCCCUUUAGAAGAAUCUCUCCAGUAGACCAAGUCUCCAGCGUCAGGAUCAUUUCGCAAUUCAUAGGCUUGAAUUCUUUUCAAAAUAUCCGGGUGAAGAUAGGGGGAGAUGAGCUCCCACUUCCAACCUAACUCAUGAUCCCACAUACUUGCCACCGUAGUCCCCACCAUAUUCGGUAAAAGUGGAGUAAUGGUCAUUGAGUUAAGAGGUUUGUCCAUAGCCUAACAAUGCUCCCAGAAUAGCGUUUUAGCGCCAUUUCCUACUGCCAUUUUUAUCCCCUCACAUAACACACGGGCAUUAUCAGUGAUGCCACGCCACACAUUAGAUGAAUUCUGUACCGGGGUGAACAUAUCCACGUCACACCUACCUUUACAAUACUUGGAACGUAAGACACGAGCCCACAACGCAUUGGGUUCCGUAAGAACACGCCAUCCUAACUUGGUCAAGAAGGCGGCAUUUGCUUGCUUAGCAGAUCGAAAGCCCAGGCCCCCUUGUUGGAGCGGUUUUUGUAGGACUUCCCAUGCAAUCAGGUGUGUACCUUUUUUCUCUUCAUUACCUCCCCAAAUGAACUUCCUUGUUUUCUUAUCCAACUCGUCACAGAUAGAGCGGGGUAAUUUAGCUGUCUGCAUAGAGUAAUACGCUAAUGUUGACAAGGUGGAUUUAGAUAAAGUAAUCCGCCCUGCUAGCGAUAAAUAUUUUGUUUUCCAGCCCGCUAGUCUCCUGUCAAGUUUUUCACACAAAUGACUGAAGGUGUCUUUCGUGACUCUAUGAGUGAGAGUCGGCAUGCCUAAGUAUAACCCAAGGUCAACAGUAGGCUCCAUAUGAAGGCAUUGGGAAAUAUCCUGUUGAACUUGUUGAGGGACAUUCUUAGAGAAGUAAACCCGAGACUUUGCAAGGCUUACCUUCUGUCCCGAAGCUUGACAGAACCGUUCUAAGCACUCAUUCACACAUAAAGCUUGUUCAAUGGUAGCCUCAGCAAACAAAACAAUGUCAUCAGCAAAAAACAAGUUGGAGAGUAAAGGACCAUUUCUACUUGCUCUAAUAGGCUGCCACUUUUGCGUUAAAAUGGCCUCUUCAAUUGUUUGGUAUAAGCGCUCCAUGCACAUCACAAAUAAAUAAGGAGAUAGGGGGUCCCCUUGUCUAAUGCCGCGGGAGGGUUUAAAACUUUGAGUCGGCUCUCCAUUCCACAACACUUGAAUAGACGUUGACGUCACACACUCCAUAAUCACGUUAACCAGUAGAAUCGGCAGGUUCAUUUGGGUAAGUGUAUCACGAAUGAAAGACCAGCGUAGGCGAUCAUACGCCUUUUCGAAAUCAAUUUUAAGAGCCAUGAUACCUUUAGAACCUUGCUUCCUUCUCAUAGUAUGGAUGACCUCCUGCAUAAUAACAAUAUUGUCUGUGAUUUGACGGCCCGGGACAAAACUUGCUUGAGUGUUAGAGAUUAGCAUCGGUAAGAGGGGUUUAAUGCGAUUUACUAACACCUUGGCAAGUAUUUUAUAAGCAACAUUGCAAAGGCCUAUAGGCCGAAACUGAGAGGCAAAUUCAGGGUUUGUGACUUUAGGGAUUAACACAAGGUGUGUUUCAUUGAGUUUGACAGAGAGACCUUUCCCCUCAAGAGCAGGUAAAACCAUUUCGUAGACGUUAUGUGCCACAAGAUCCCAAUUUUUCUGAUAAAAGAGAGCCUGGAAUCCGUCGGGGCCGGGGGCCUUAAGGGCUCCCAUGGUCUUGAUAACUUCGUCGAUCUCUAAUUUUGAAAAUGGUUUAGCCAAAGCAUCCCAGUCCCGGUGAGAUAACUCAGGGAAAAUGUCAUAAGGGACGUUGAAAAAAUCUGGCUCGUCAUCCGCAGCAAACAGACGAGUAAAGUAGUUGACAAAAUGCUCUUUGACCAACUCCUUAUCAUGGAUCCACUCCCCCUCAUGAUCUUUAAUUGCUUCAAUUUUAUUUUUCCAUCUACGCAUGAUUGUGCUUAAAUGAAAGAACGUGGUGUUACGAUCUCCAUUUUUCAGCCAGUCAACACGGGAUUUUUGGUACCAAAGUGUUUCCUCCCUAUCUAGCAUAUCAUCUAACUCAUGCCGCAAACGAGCUUCAAGUUUAAUGAGGCCCCUGUCCCGUUUUUCCACCAAAAGUUUUUGGAUGCCCGCAAGUCGUGCUAGAAGAGCACGUUUUUGGUGAAAGAUGUUCCCAAAGACUUCUUUGUUCCAGGUUGACAAACCAUCAGCAAGUUUAGAAAGCGCAAUAGAGAGUGGGCUCGACCUUUCCCAACUUCGUUCAAUAAAGGCUUUGAAGGUCUCAUGAGUCAUCCAAGCAGCCUGGAACUUAAAGGGUUUGUUUACAUGGGAAAUAGGCGCAAAACCAUUCGGGGAAAUGAAAAUAGGGCUAUGGUCAGAUUGUAUAGCAGGAAGAUGCUUAACCUUCGCAUUGUGGAAUCGGAUGCCCCACUCACUGUUGCAUAAGGCUCUGUCAAGUCGAGCACUCGUACGAGUUUCAGGAGAAAGACCCCGAGCCCAUGUGUGCUUGGCACCAGAAAACUCAACCUCAAUCAGGUCCAUACUUUCCACCCAAUUGUUAAAUUUUUCAGCACGUCGAAUAGUCUCCCUACACGCACUACUCCUUUCAGAGGGAAAGCGUGUGUCGUUAAAGUUUCCUGCGAUUAGCCAUGGGUGAUUGUGAGUGCUAGCAAAAUCCUCCAACUCUUUCCAUAAACGUUGACGCUUUGAGGGGUCUGGACUAGCAUAGACUGCUGUAAAAUACCAAGGUGGGUCUCCGAGUCUCGUGACAUUCAUCGUUAUGUGUUGAUCAUGUUUAAUAAUAGGCUCAAUAGAAACCAAUUCAGGUUUCCAGUAGACCCAUAUCCCGCCCGAAAAUCCCGUAGCAUCCAUACGCGUGUGCCCAGAGUAACCAAUACUUUUUGCAAUAGAUAAAGCUUGAGCGCCUCCCAUAUGCGUUUCUACAAGGGCGAGGACAUUGGAACGGCCGAAACAAAAUUGCGGCUUCCCGCACCUUGAACAUUCCACACCAUGCAAGUUAUAGCAAGUGAGUUCGGAACGAAAUUCGGAGUUUGUAAAUUCAUGGGAACAGGUAAAGUUGGAAGAGAAGACAUAAAAGCUUGGCUUAUGAGUCGCAUCAGGCGAUGAAUCUCAUUGGGAAUGAGCAGAGUCAUUACUAACUCCCUGGGCAUCGAGAUAGGCUCCAGCCAAGAUUCUAUCCUUAUCUCUAGAACAUGGGUCAGGGGGUCGGUCACAUAGAGGUAAGGUCUCUCCAUCACAUGGUUGAUGAAGAGGGUUUUCUCGGGCGGGAUAUCCAACUGUAUAACAGUGGAGGGAGUCAGGAAUUCGAGUGACAUCCUGCAAGGACUCUUGGGAAAGUGAAUGGAGAGGCGUAGAGGUAACAGUCUUAGGAGAAGAUGGCGAGGGAGUAACUUGUGGAGUGACUUGAAGGUUUUCUUUACCCGAAGACGGAACGAAGUUGGGCUUGUGGAGUUGGGCUUGGGUUGGCUCAGAAGGGAUAUUCAAAUCAAUCUCUGUGAGGGCGAAAGAAGGAUAGUUGGGGGUAGUGACUGGGGUGUCCGAUUUGGAUUUGGAAAUAACUUUAUUAGACUUCUUUUUACUUUGCUUAGGUGAUUUACUUCCCAAAUUAAAGGAAACCGGGAUGCUGUUAUCUUUGGUUUGAGGUAAAGAAUCUUCACCAAGGUCAACAGUAGCGAAGGAAAUAUCUUCCACAAUAUUGAUAGGAUUGGGGUCCUUAAUUGUCGCAACAACCUCCUCAUUUUCCGUUUCUAAAACAGAGAAACGAGAUCCACGCCCGUUAAUUUCGCGGGAUGGUUGUGAUUUUGGUGGAAUUGACUCAUUUUUUCCAGCGCUAGAAACCGUCGCCCUUGGGUUUGGGAUUAUUGGAGCAACGCCUUGAGCUGGUGGAUCCACCACCACAUUAGGUCGUUCCGGGCGUGGGAUCCUUUUCCUACCAGGUUUUUUGACUAACAUCCAGGACCCAAACGCCUCUUGUUCUUCAGGCUUGGUUAAUGUGGCGCCCUGGGGGACAAAAGCUGGAUUAUGGAUGGGCUCAAUUACAUGACCCAUCUCGUCCAUAACAUGAUCUUGCUCUUUAGAGCAUUCGGAAGCAGUAUGUCCCAUUUUGCCACAGUUAUAACAAAUCAUCUUAAUCCCUUCGUACUGAAUUUUCCAAACUCUACCUUUUAGCCAAAACUUAGAUAGAAGAGGUUUGGUUAUGUCAAUUUCGACACUUAAGCGGGUAAAUUGACCACGUUCAGCUUGGGUUGUUGUUUUGUCAACACGAAGGACCCGUCCAAUUUUAGAGCCAAUUUUGUGUAGAAACGUGGUAUCAAAGUACUCCACAGCAAGGUUAGGAAUACGAACCCAAGCAGUAAGGACUUUGAUGGGGGCCUCGUCAGGCACAAAAUUAGGCACCCAUUUACGUAUUGUGAGAUAGUUAUCGUCAAUAAGCCAUGGCCCCUGGGUUAACACAUAUUGGUAAUCAGCAUCAUUGGAGAAUCGAGCUAUAUAAUAUUGGCAUCCAACAUCAGUGAGGGUCAAUUCUCCCUUGAGGUUCCAUUUGCGCUUGAGUCGUCUCAUAAGACCCAUAUAUCCUAUCUUGCCAUCCAGUAACUUAAUAAUGAGAGCUUGUUUCCAAGGUUUCCUCAUUCUUAUUUUCUCGGCUUUAGAAAGUAAAAUAGCCGGACAUCUUUCAUCUUCAGUAAAGUUCUCUGGAAUGGAGUCAUCAUCCGAUACUUCGUCAUCCUCUUCAAUAGGGAUAAAGGAAGAAACAGGAGACGAGGAAGGGUUGAGGCCCCGGACCAUAUCUCGGAAGGAUGGGUGCGGGGGGGAAGUAGGGGGAGGAAUUUCAUUGUGGUUAGCAGAUAGGACAGGAUCAUCAGUUACCAUAGGCUGGAGAUCCCCCUCAGUCGGUUUUGUGUAACGCAGGCCACAGGAAAGGAAACCGUGAGGCUGCGCGCAUCACUAACCAUCCCCAUCUCCUUCGUUCCUCCUUCCUCCAUCCUCCCUCCUCCUCCCCCCUUCCUCAAAUCUUCGACUUCUUCAUCAUCAUCAUUGCAAACUCAACCUGCUUCGACAUUAUAUGCGUCAACAACGACGUACCAUGGCGGCGAUGCAAUCGCAAUCACAGUCACUCUCCACUAAUUCUGGGAAUUCGCUGUCGAUUGGUGUCAGAAACUUGCCGGAGGAUGAGUUUUGAAGUUAAUGCAAGGAUAGCAAGUUAUCCCUCCAUUUUCCAUUUUCUCUCUCCUCACCUUAUGUGGAAGUUUCUAAGGGAAUCGCAGACUUUCCCCAAUACAACUCCAUCUCGCGAACUCGGACCAUCACAAAGACUUGCCAAUAGAACCCAACAAAUUGAACAGUCAGCCAUUUCUUCAUAAAACAAGGCACACAAUAUUACGUUAUCCUCCUACACCAAACUCAUGGAACUCCAAUUUGAUCCUUCCAAUCAUGCUGUUAAGUGAAUUGAUAUAUGACAUGUUGCUUUGUAGUUUGAAC
Molecule: long non-coding RNA, 9896 nt
Organism: Beta vulgaris subsp. vulgaris (sugar beet)
Lineage: Eukaryota; Viridiplantae; Streptophyta; Magnoliopsida; Caryophyllales; Amaranthaceae
Exons: 6
Source: RefSeq, a predicted model, not a curated record